GUGGGAUACGGAGACGUGAACCCGGCUACCAUCCUCGGCAAGACGUUUGGCAUGAUCGUGGUGGUGGUGGGCGUGCUGGUGAUCGCGCUGCCGGUGACGGUCAUCGGGAGCAAC
This is a regulatory RNA element of Micromonas sp., 114 nucleotides long. It matches the Rfam family "Potassium channel RNA editing signal". From Rfam's summary of the family: This family represents a group of sequences related to the human potassium channel Kv1.1 hairpin element which directs the efficient modification of an adenosine to inosine by an adenosine deaminase acting on RNA (ADAR). The ADAR modification causes an isoleucine/valine recoding event which lies in the ion-conducting pore of the potassium channel. It is thought that this editing event targets the process of fast inactivation and allows a more rapid recovery from inactivation at negative potentials. The record is from Rfam. NCBI's taxonomy places the organism in Eukaryota, Viridiplantae, Chlorophyta, Mamiellophyceae, Mamiellales, Mamiellaceae.